GCCCAAGAGAUCGGGAUAACACCUGGAAACAGAUGCUAAUACCGGAUAACAACAGAUGAUGCCUAUCAACUGUUUAAAAGAUGGUUCUGCUAUCACUCUUGGAUGGACCUGCGGUGCAUUAGCUAGUUGGUAGGGUAACGGCCUACCAAGGCGAUGAUGCAUAGCCGAGUUGAGAGACUGAUCGGCCACAUUGGGACUGAGACACGGCCCAAACUCCUACGGGGAGGGCAGCAGCG
Molecule: ribosomal RNA, 236 nt
Filed under: uncultured Lactobacillus sp.
Lineage: Bacteria; Bacillati; Bacillota; Bacilli; Lactobacillales; Lactobacillaceae
Description: partial 16S ribosomal RNA
Rfam family: Bacterial small subunit ribosomal RNA
Source: RNAcentral